Brassica napus (rape) is the source of this 1469-nucleotide long non-coding RNA. RefSeq lists it as uncharacterized. The record is from RefSeq and is a predicted model, not a curated record. Lineage: Eukaryota; Viridiplantae; Streptophyta; Magnoliopsida; Brassicales; Brassicaceae. The transcript has 6 exons.
UUGAAUAUCUAUACUAUACUAAAAGUUGGAUAUCCUCCAAUUCUAAACUAUCCACGUCAGAUUAAAAAUUCAAGCCAACCAGUGUUUGCCAGCUCAUUCUAAUAUUCAGAUCAGCUAAUAUUUACAUCUUUCUUUCGACCCUUCGUCUCUCUCAUUCUCCACCAUGAAACUCUUAACCUUAUCUCAGUUUCCCUUUACCCAUUAAAAAACGGGGGAAAACCGGCGGCUGCUACUCCUAGCAAACACAAAAGCCAAUUCCAAGACGGUUCAUCAUCGACGGCUCCGACUUCUCUCUUUUCUCAACGGCGUUCUUACUGGACGUGAAUAUGAAGAAACCCUAAACAUUGUGACAGGAGGCCUCCUAAUUGGCCUUGAGAUGCUGUUGAAGCAGAAGCGCAGAAGAGAGAAGUUGCUGCUGGUGACUUAUCUCCCAGUGAUGGAAAAUAUUUGAUGCCGGUUACUUUGUGUCUCAGUAAGCAAGCUACUCGAUAGUUUCUAUCAUAGUUUUCUGCAAGAUCAUGACCAUAAUUACGGCCAGGGCCAGCGAAGCACAAGAACAUGUUACAGCUAGAGUUCUUUGAAAAGCUAUUUGUUCAUUACCUUACAAAAAUUCCUGAUUGGUGGCUGCGGUUUACUAUCUUCUAUGUUUCUGUUUACAGUUAAUCACAUGUAAGACACAAAGUAAAUGUCCGCAGAAAAAUACGAUAUCCUGAACUUCAGAAAUAGUACGAAAAGGUUCACAACUACUCAUCAGAAAUCCAGGGAAAUUGGUAAAUAUGAUUAGGAGAGUAAAGUAUUUCGAGAUCCAACCAGAGAGCCACAGACCGACUUCUAUGGUGUGGCUCUGCCGAUGGAAAUCUUUUUUCCCAUGUGCUAAUGGAUACGGUAACAGAACAAUGCACAUCAACAUACUCGAGAGUUAAAGUGAAAGAAUAAAUAAGAACGAGGACAUGCUAGGCGGAUCAAAAGCACCACCAAUGGCCAAGCAAAACGCUACGUCUGGUACUCUUGCAAGUAGGGAGUUCUAUAAAGAAUCUUCUCAGCCUUCCAACGCUUUGAAAAAGACAACAGUGGAUAUAUCACAAUGGAAGCGCUGGAGCAGUCCCUGAGGGACAUUAAUGGUGGAAGAGACAUUAAUGAAAUUAUUUCUGAAGUUGAUGGAGAAAAAUAGUUUCAAAGAAGGGGAGCUUCGCCACUUCUUCCUCUUUGUGUCAAAUCUAUAGAAACGUCUGUUUCGUUCCAUUUAAGGCGGCUCCUCUGCGGCUUCUCGGUGUCAUUUCCAACUUCAUACAUUUUACACAUGGGAUGCUAACAAGUAACAACUUGCUAUCGUAAAUAAGGAUGAUAAAAGACAUAAACAUGGGGAAAAUACACUUUGUAUUAUGAGAGAACUGCAUCAGUUUAAAAUAUUGUAAUUGUCGAGUGGGAGAACGGAGUACUGAAUUAAUUUACACACUGUAUUAGCAGCC